UCAUGAUGAACGCUAGCUACAGGCUUAACACAUGCAAGUCGAGGGGCAGCAUUUCAGUUUGCUUGCAAACUGGAGAUGGCGACCGGCGCACGGGUGAGUAACACGUAUCCAACCUGCCGAUAACUCGGGGAUAGCCUUUCGAAAGAAAGAUUAAUACCCGAUGGCAUAAUUAGACCGCAUGGUCUUAUUAUUAAAGAAUUUCGGUUAUCGAUGGGGAUGCGUUCCAUUAGGCAGUUGGUGAGGUAACGGCUCACCAAACCUUCGAUGGAUAGGGGUUCUGAGAGGAAGGUCCCCCACAUUGGAACUGAGACACGGUCCAAACUCCUACGGGAGGCAGCAGUGAGGAAUAUUGGUCAAUGGACGAGAGUCUGAACCAGCCAAGUAGCGUGAAGGAUGACUGCCCUAUGGGUUGUAAACUUCUUUUAUAUGGGAAUAAAGUUUUCCACGUGUGGAAUUUUGUAUGUACCAUAUGAAUAAGGAUCGGCUAACUCCGUGCCAGCAGCCGCGGUAAUACGGAGGAUCCGAGCGUUAUCCGGAUUUAUUGGGUUUAAAGGGAGCGUAGGUGGACAGUUAAGUCAGUUGUGAAAGUUUGCGGCUCAACCGUAAAAUUGCAGUUGAUACUGGCUGUCUUGAGUACAGUAGAGGUGGGCGGAAUUCGUGGUGUAGCGGUGAAAUGCUUAGAUAUCACGAAGAACUCCGAUUGCGAAGGCAGCUCACUGGACUGCAACUGACACUGAUGCUCGAAAGUGUGGGUAUCAAACAGGAUUAGAUACCCUGGUAGUCCACACAGUAAACGAUGAAUACUCGCUGUUUGCGAUAUACAGUAAGCGGCCAAGCGAAAGCAUUAAGUAUUCCACCUGGGGAGUACGCCGGCAACGGUGAAACUCAAAGGAAUUGACGGGGGCCCGCACAAGCGGAGGAACAUGUGGUUUAAUUCGAUGAUACGCGAGGAACCUUACCCGGGCUUAAAUUGCAUUUGAAUAAUCUGGAAACAGGUUAGCCGCAAGGCAAAUGUGAAGGUGCUGCAUGGUUGUCGUCAGCACGUGCCGUGAGGUGUCGGCUUAAGUGCCAUAACGAGCGCAACCCUUAUCUUUAGUUACUAACAGGUCAUGCUGAGGACUCUAGAGAGACUGCCGUCGUAAGAUGUGAGGAAGGUGGGGAUGACGUCAAAUCAGCACGGCCCUUACGUCCGGGGCUACACAUGUGUUACAAUGGGGGGUACAGAAGGCAGCUACCUGGUGACAGGAUGCUAAUCCCAAAAGCCUCUCUCAGUUCGGAUCGAAGUCUGCAACCCGACUUCGUGAAGCUGGAUUCGCUAGUAAUCGCGCAUCAGCCAUGGCGCGGUGAAUACGUUCCCGGGCCUUGUACACACCGCCCGUCAAGCCAUGAAAGCCGGGGGUACCUGAAGUACGUAACCGCAAGGAGCGUCCUAGGGUAAAACUGGUA
This 1446-nucleotide ribosomal RNA is filed under the name uncultured organism. RNAcentral's name for it is "SSU rRNA". It matches the Rfam family "Bacterial small subunit ribosomal RNA". The record is from RNAcentral.